Cydia fagiglandana is the source of this 537-nucleotide long non-coding RNA. RefSeq lists it as uncharacterized. NCBI's taxonomy places the organism in Eukaryota, Metazoa, Arthropoda, Insecta, Lepidoptera, Tortricidae. The record is from RefSeq and is a predicted model, not a curated record. The transcript has 3 exons.
UUUUUCCUUUCACGUAACCGAGUUACAACCUAGGAAAACUUCCUAAUGAUUACGAGAAAGUACUUUAUAUUCCUCGUAGGUAACUGCUUGAAAGAUAGAUAGGUAUGGUAUUAUCAACCUCUUUUGAUAUCAUGGCACUCAACAUUCAUUAUAUAACUGACGUUUUCAUAACACCUAGCACGGUACCGCUACAACCGGGCAUAACUUUGCAACUCAAAUAUAAUGAACUAAGCGUAGACUAACUCCUAAUACUUUCUGUUGCCCUGGUACUUUUCACUCUUUUCUCACCAAGAAAUUCGUCACCAUGUCUUCAAUUACAAAAAAAUAAUAUGGUAUAGGUCCUAGGUAAAGCAUGGGUCCGGAUCACUCAUCGUUUCAUAAGAGUAUUAUUUUAUUCCUUACUGGAUACUAGUUACGAACAAUCAUACAGGUAUCAGUAAAGGUAAAAACCCUAUUACUUGGAUACCAGUAUCCUAUGAAGAUCUGUUUUUAUUUUUAUGUAACUGGUUACAAAACUCCGGUUACAUACGCGGCCGA